This 880-nucleotide ribosomal RNA is filed under the name Meloidogyne sp. DLL-2013b. Its description in RNAcentral is "SSU rRNA". It matches the Rfam family "Eukaryotic small subunit ribosomal RNA", at positions 111 to 1003 of the family's 1831-position model. Lineage: Eukaryota; Metazoa; Nematoda; Chromadorea; Rhabditida; Meloidogynidae. The record is from RNAcentral.
CAUGAUUUACUUGAUCUUGAUAAUCCUAAAUGGACAACUGUGGAAAAGCUAGAGCUAAUACAUGCACUAAAGCUUUGUCCUUACGGAAAAGCGCAUUUAUUAGAACAAAACCAAGCGGCUUCGGCUGCUUCUUGUUGACUCAGAAUAACUAAGCUGACCGCAUGGCCAAGUGCCGGCGGCGAAUCUUUCAAGCGUCCACUUUAUCAACUUGACGGGAGCAUAAUCGACUCCCGUGGUGGUGACGGAUAACGGAGGAUCAGGGUUCGACUCCGGAGAAGGGGCCUGAGAAAUGGCCACUACGUCUAAGGAUGGCAGCAGGCGCGCAAAUUACCCACUCUCGGCUCGAGGAGGUAGUGACGAGAAAUAACGAGGUCGUUCUCAAAUGAGGCCGGUCAUCGGAAUGGGUACAAUUUAAACCCUUUAACGAGUAUCAAGCAGAGGGCAAGUCUGGUGCCAGCAGCCGCGGUAAUUCCAGCUCUGCUAAUACAUAGAAUUAUUGCUGCGGUUAAAAAGCUCGUAGUUGGAUUCGUGUCGAUACCCUGGAACCCUUCGGGUGUCUCUAGGUGUUAUCGAUUUAUCGUAAUGUUCGGUCUUGAGUCCUUAACAGGAUUCCUGACAGGCGUUACAAGUUUACUUUGAACAAAUCAGAGUGCUUCAAACAGGCGUUUAGCUUGAAUGAUCGUGCAUGGAAUAAUAGAAUACGAUUUCGGUUCAGUUUUAUUGGUUUUACGGACUGAGAUAAUGGUUAACAGAGACAAACGGGGGCAUUUGUAUGGCUCCGUGAGAGGUGAAAUUCUUGGACCGUGGCCAGACAAACUACAGCGAAAGCAUUCGCCAAGAAUGUCUUCAUUAAUCAAGAACGAAAGUCAGAGGUUCGAAA